This is a non-coding RNA of Phascolarctos cinereus (koala), 590 nucleotides long. NCBI's taxonomy places the organism in Eukaryota, Metazoa, Chordata, Mammalia, Diprotodontia, Phascolarctidae. The record is from RefSeq and is a predicted model, not a curated record.
UGGACCAAGGUAAUCUGUUUCAUGAGGAAUACAGAGGAGUAUGAGGAGACAUAUAUAAAUUAAUGCAAAGUGAAGUAAGUGGAACCAGAAACACCAUAUACACAACUACAAAAGUGUAAGUGGACCACAGACAACAAACAAUCAAAACUGAAUGCUGUGGAAUUACGGUGAUCAAGCUUGGCUCUAAAAAAGCAGUAUGAAAAGGGCAUGAUUAUGCUUAAGAUCUCAAAGUAUCAUUAUUGUGAUUGGCUGGUUAUGGAAAUUUCACAAAUGGUGCGGAUACAUUGUCUUAUGAGUAGCCUAUGUUGUAUAGAUAGAAAACAUAUUGGAAGAAAGACUCAAGACCUGGAGUGGCCAAGGAACCUAUUUCAGUUGUCUUUGCAGACUUCAAAAUACCUAGCACAUGACAUGAACUGAAUAAAUAUUUGUUGAAUAAAUGAACAAGGGCCUUACACAUUUCAGUGAAUCAGCAUAUCUGUGAAAUAUCUAUGAGGAUUCAAAGACACAGAUUAAACCCGCAUCUUCAAAUCCUAAGCAACCAUUGUCCAUGACUUCUCAUAAAAUCUCCAUAUAAAGGUCCACCCAAUAGC